This is a non-coding RNA of Dipodomys ordii (Ord's kangaroo rat), 70 nucleotides long. The record is from Rfam. NCBI's taxonomy places the organism in Eukaryota, Metazoa, Chordata, Mammalia, Rodentia, Heteromyidae.
GGGGAUGUGGCCUAGUGGUAGAGUGCUUGCCUAGUAUGCAAGAAGCCCUGGGUUUGAUUCCUCAGUACCA